GAAAAAAAAGGUAUAUUGAAAGACAAAGUAAAGACAAGAAUUGAAAGUCUAGAAGAGAGACAAAAGGGAAAGGAAAAAACAGCUACACGGAGAGAGAGAGAAUGAGAGAAGCAAACAUGAGAGAGAAUGUUUAUUAUAAUUGUGUUUUAAAAUUACAAUGUCCAGUCAGAGAGUUUGUUGAAGCACAAGGCUAAACAUACCAAUAUAAACUAUUCACACUAUAUUACUUUGUGUCUUUUCAAUUAUCUAAGUUACUUAUUUAUUGUCAUUAUAUCCACUAUAAUGUACAGACCCAUAAGCCAAUACAUUGUGUAACAUAUUUUCACCUUCCCAUUGUGUUGGCAUGUAUCUUUGUUCUUUGUUACAUUGGCGCGUAUGUUAUUCGUUUUAUUGGCAUAUCUGUAUAGAAACAAAGAAUAUUAGCUUUCAUUAUAAAAGUGUUUGUUUUUUUUUUGGUUCCCGGUCAUUUAAUCCCCGGUCACUUCAUCCCCUGGUCAUUUCAUCCCUGGUCAUUUCAUCCCCCUGGUCAUUUCAUCCCCCUGGUCAUUUUAUCCCCUAGUCAUUUCAUCCCCUGGUCAUUUCAUCAUCUGAUCAUUUUAUCUAACAAAUUGUAAUUGUAAAAUCGUGAAAUCAGCAAUAUUUAAUAUAUUCUGACAAAAAGUGUGACAUACUUGAUAACAAAAAAUUAAAUGCCAUUACAACUAUAAAAAUUUAACAUGUAUAAAUAUUGAGGUCACGUAAAAGAAAAAUGUUUUUGUGUUCAUCUACAUAAGAUAGAUAGGUAAGAUAAGAUAGAUAGGUAAGAUAAGAUAGAUAGGCUAUUGAUUGUUAGUACAGAAGACGAUCCAUCGAUUCAUAUUACUUAACAAUAUUUUGUAAUUCUCUUUGCCUAUAACACAAUUUACAACAUUAAUGUUUAAAAUAAAUAAAAUCAAAACUUAUAUAGGCGACAUGAUCUCCUGACGAUGGGUGAAGUCAGCCUUUAGUAGAAAAAAACAAAACCUUAUUUCAAGGCUAAAAUGACGCGCCCAUUUUCAAGAAAGAGCGAUUACAAAAUAAAAUAAAGUGAAAGAUGGUCGUCACGAGUUAUCAGCGGCAUAGUCAUAAGUAUUCUAAUCGUUCUGAUGUCUUAAGUGAUUUCCACUACUUCCACCACACCUUGGCCUUUCAUGAUCUUUUAUCAGCGGCAUGGUCAUCUUUCAGCGGGGCAUGGUCAUUUAUCAGCGCAUGGUCAUAAGUAUUCUAAUCGUUCUCAUCUCUCAAAAGAUUUCCACUAGUUCCAUACCUUGGGCUUUGAUCAUUACGUCAUUCGGAAGAUAAUAUUAUAAUGUUUCGGGGAUGAAGUGACCAAGGAUGAAAUGACCGGGGAUGAAGUGACUGUGAAGAAGUGACCGGGGAUGAAAUGACCGAUCACCUGUUUUUGUGUUUUGUUGUUUGCACUGAAAGUAGUAAAGUGUAAGCGAAGGACUUGAUUCUGUUUAUAUAUUUAUGUCAUGUUCCAUAUUCAUGCAUUAAAGAAAAUAUCAAAAUC
Long non-coding RNA from Biomphalaria glabrata, 1531 nucleotides. RefSeq lists it as uncharacterized. The transcript is spliced from 2 exons. The record is from RefSeq and is a predicted model, not a curated record. Lineage: Eukaryota; Metazoa; Mollusca; Gastropoda; Planorbidae.